CACGCCCUAAACGAUGAUUACUCGACAUUUGCGAUAUACAGUAAGUGUCUGAGCGAAAGCAUUAAGUAAUCCACCUGGGAAGUACNUACGCGAGGAACCUUACCUGGGCUAGAAUGCAAGAUGCCCGUCUGUGAAAGCAGAUUUUGUAGCAAUACACAUUUUGUAAGGUGC
This 171-nucleotide ribosomal RNA is filed under the name uncultured bacterium. RNAcentral's name for it is "partial 16S ribosomal RNA". The record is from RNAcentral.